RNAcentral lists this ribosomal RNA (375 nucleotides) under uncultured bacterium. RNAcentral describes it as "partial 16S ribosomal RNA". The stretch from base 101 to 375 matches the Rfam family "Bacterial small subunit ribosomal RNA", at positions 1 to 261 of the family's 1533-position model. The record is from RNAcentral.
CCUGUGGAAACGCAGGGGGAAGUCUCGGAUCAUUGACAACUAAAUAGGAGCAGCAACGUCCAAUUAAAGGGCCCUGAUCACGAAACACAGUAACAAAAUGAAUCUGGAGAGUUUGAUCCUGGCUCAGAACGAACGCUGGCGGCGUGCCUAACACAUGCAAGUCCAACGUGAAAGGGGAGCAAUCCCCCGGUAGGGUGGCAAACGGGUGAGUAAUACAUGGGUGAUCUACCUUAGGGAUGGGGAUAUCCUUCCGAAAGGAGGGGCAAUACCGAAUAUUGUCCGGAGCCGUGAAGGGUUCCGGGGAAAGGGAGGCCUCUGAUACAAGCUUUCGCCUUAAGAUGAGCCCAUGGCCCAUCAGCUAGUUGGUAGGGUAAA